This 492-nucleotide ribosomal RNA is filed under the name uncultured bacterium. RNAcentral's name for it is "partial 16S ribosomal RNA". It matches the Rfam family "Bacterial small subunit ribosomal RNA", at positions 29 to 507 of the family's 1533-position model. The record is from RNAcentral.
AGUGAACGCUGGCGGUAGGCCUAACACAUGCAAGUCGAACGGCAGCACAGUAAGAGCUUGCUCUUACGGGUGGCGAGUGGCGGACGGGUGAGGAAUACAUCGGCAUCUACUUUUUCGUGGGGGAUAACGUAGGGAAACUUACGCUACUACCGCAUACGACCUACGGGUGAAAGCAGGAGAUCUUCGGACCUUGCGCGAUUGAAUGAGCCGAUGUCGGAUUAGCUAGUUGGCGGGGUAAAGGCCCACCAAGGCGACGAUCCGUAGCUGGUCUGAGAGGAUGAUCAGCCACACUGGAACUGAGACACGGUCCAGACUCCUACGGGAGGCAGCAGUGGGGAAUAUUGGACAAUGGGCGCAAGCCUGAUCCAGCAAUACCGCGUGGGUGAAGAAGGCCUUCGGGUUGUAAAGCCCUUUUGUUGGGAAAGAAAAGCAGCAGGUUAAUACCCCGCUGUUCUGACGGUACCCAAAGAAUAAGCACCGGCUAACUUCGUG